CCUACGGGUGGCUGCAGUGAGGAAUAUUGGUCAAUGGGCGGGAGCCUGAACCAGCCAAGUCGCGUGAGGGAAGAAGGUACUGAGUAUUGUAAACCUCUUUUGUCAGGGGACAAAGGCGGCCACGAGUCGCCGUAAGAGGGUACCCGGAGAAAAAGCAUCGGCUAACUCCGUGCCAGCAGCCGCGGUAAUACGGAGGAUGCGAGCGUUAUCCGGAUUUAUUGGGGUAAAGGGUUGGGCAGGCGGUGUGUUAGGUCAGCGGGAAAAGGUCGGGGCGCAACCCCGGCCCGCAGUUGAAACUGGCAGGCUCGAGUUGGAGAGAAGUAUGCGGAAUUCGUGGUGUAGCGGUGAAAUGCAUAGAUAGCGCGAAGAACCCUGAUUGCGAAGGCAGCAUACCGGCUCCACACUGACGCUGAGGCACGAAAGCGUGGGUAUCGAACAGGAUUAGAUACCCCUGUAGUC
Molecule: ribosomal RNA, 459 nt
Filed under: uncultured bacterium
Lineage: Bacteria
Description: partial 16S ribosomal RNA
Rfam family: Bacterial small subunit ribosomal RNA
Source: RNAcentral